GUGACCAGCACUGAACACUGCCCUCUCAUCAUGAAGUUGUGGCUGAGCUUGAUUUUCCUUGUAACCCUUUUAAAAGGUAUCCAGUGUGAAGUGCAGCUCAUAGAGUCUGGAGGAGGCUUGGCACAGCCUGGGGGUUCCCUGAAACUCUCCUGUGCAGCCUCUGGAUUCACCUUUAGUGAUUUCUACAUGAGCUGGGUCCGCCAGUCUCCUGGGAAGGGGCUGGAGUGGGUUGGUUUUAUUAGAAACAAAGCUAAUAGUUACACAACAGAGUACAGUGCAUCUGUGAAGGGCCGGUUCACUAUCUCCAGAGAUGAUUCCAAAAACACCCUCUACCUGCAAAUGAACAGCCUGAAAGCUGAGGACACAGCCACUUACUACUGUACAAGACACACAGUGCCAGGACCUUAG
Onychomys torridus (southern grasshopper mouse) is the source of this 408-nucleotide non-coding RNA. NCBI's taxonomy places the organism in Eukaryota, Metazoa, Chordata, Mammalia, Rodentia, Cricetidae. The record is from the annotation of a RefSeq genome assembly.